UUGAACGCUGGCGGCCGGCCUAACACCUGCAAGUCGCACGGUAACAGGAAGCAGCUUGCUGCUUUGCUGACGAGUGGCGGACGGGUGAGUAAUGUCUGGGAAACUGCCCGAUGGAGGGGGAUAACUACUGGAAACGGUAGCUAAUACCGCAUAACGUCGCAAGACCAAAGAGGGGGACCUUAGGGCCUCUUGCCAUCGGAUGUGCCCAGAUGGGAUUAGCUAGUAGGUGGGGUAACGGCUCACCUAGGCGACGAUCCCUAGCUGGUCUGAGAGGAUGACCAGCCACACUGGAACUGAGACACGGUCCAGACUCCUACGGGAGGCAGCAGUGGGGAAUAUUGCACAAUGGGCGCAAGCCUGAUGCAGCCAUGCCGCGUGUAUGAAGAAGGCCUUCGGGUUGUAAAGUACUUUCAGCGGGGAGGAAGGGAGUAAAGUUAAUACCUUUGCUCAUUGACGUUACCCGCAGAAGAAGCACCGGCUAACUCCGUG
RNAcentral lists this ribosomal RNA (489 nucleotides) under uncultured bacterium. RNAcentral's name for it is "partial 16S ribosomal RNA". It matches the Rfam family "Bacterial small subunit ribosomal RNA", at positions 30 to 507 of the family's 1533-position model. The record is from RNAcentral.